UACGUAGGGUGCGAGCGUUGUCCGGAAUUACUGGGCGUAAAGAGCUCGUAGGUGGUUUGUCGCGUUGUUCGUGAAAACUCACAGCUUAACUGUGGGCGUGCGGGCGAUACGGGCAGACUGGAGUACUGCAGGGGAGACUGGAAUUCAUGGUGUAGCGGUGGAAUGCGCAGACAUCAGGAGGAACACCGGUGGCGAAGGCGGGUCUCUGGGCAGUAACUGACGCUGAGGAGCGAAAGCGUGGGGAGCGAACAGG
RNAcentral lists this ribosomal RNA (253 nucleotides) under uncultured bacterium. RNAcentral's name for it is "partial 16S ribosomal RNA". It matches the Rfam family "Bacterial small subunit ribosomal RNA", at positions 524 to 776 of the family's 1533-position model. The record is from RNAcentral.